This 253-nucleotide ribosomal RNA is filed under the name uncultured bacterium. RNAcentral describes it as "partial 16S ribosomal RNA". It matches the Rfam family "Bacterial small subunit ribosomal RNA", at positions 524 to 776 of the family's 1533-position model. The record is from RNAcentral.
UACGUACUGGGCGAACGUUAUUCGGAAUCACUGGGCUUAAAGGGUGCGUAGGCGGCCUUCCAGGUCCGGUGUGAAAUCUCACGGCUCAACCGUGAAAUGGCGCUGGAAACCGGAAGGCUUGAGUGUGCUAGGGGUGUGUGGAACUUCCAGUGGAGCGGUGAAAUGUGUUGAUAUUGGAAGGAACGCCGGUGGCGAAAGCGACACACUGGGGCACAACUGACGCUGAGGCACGAAAGCUAGGGUAGCGAACGGG